CCAGACUCCUACGGGAGGCAGCAGUGGGGGAUAUUGCACAAUGGGGGAAACCCUGAUGCAGCGACGCCGCGUGAGUGAAGAAGUAUUUCGGUAUGUAAAGCUCUAUCAGCAGGGAAGAAAAUGACAGUACCUGACCAAGAAGCCCCGGCUAACUACGUGCCAGCAGCCGCGGUAAUACGUAGGGGGCAAGCGUUAUCCGGAUUUACUGGGUGUAAAGGGAGCGUAGACGGUUAUGUAAGUCUGGAGUGAAAGCCCGGGGCCCAACCCCGGGACUGCUUUGGAAACUGUGUAACUUGAGUGCAGGAGAGGUAAGCGGAAUUCCUAGUGUAGCGGUGAAAUGCGUAGAUAUUAGGAGGAACACCAGUGGCGAAGGCGGCUUGCUGGACCAUAACUGACGUUGAGGCUCGAAAGCGUGGGGAGCGAACAGGAUUAGAUACCCGCGUACA
This 446-nucleotide ribosomal RNA is filed under the name uncultured bacterium. RNAcentral describes it as "bacterial SSU rRNA". It matches the Rfam family "Bacterial small subunit ribosomal RNA", at positions 331 to 797 of the family's 1533-position model. The record is from RNAcentral.